AGCGGUUCUCAGGUGACGCACCCUGGAACCAGAGAAGGGGGAGCCUGAUUCCAGGGUGCAUCACCCGAGAACCGCC
Molecule: non-coding RNA, 76 nt
Organism: Myotis davidii
Lineage: Eukaryota; Metazoa; Chordata; Mammalia; Chiroptera; Vespertilionidae
Source: Rfam